AUACGGAGGAUGCAAGCGUUAUCCGGAUUUAUUGGGUUUAAAGGGUGCGUAGGCGGUUUGCUAAGCGGGAGGUGAAAUGCCGGCGCUCAACGUCGGCAGUGCCUCCCGAACUGGUGGACUUGAAUGACUCUGCCGUGGGAGGAAUGGGUAGUGUAGCGGUGAAAUGCUUAGAGAUUACACAGAACACCGAUUGCGAAGGCAUCUCACGAAGGGUUGAUUGACGCUGAGGCACGAAAGCGUGGGGAUCAAACAGGAUUAGAUACCCUGGUAGUCCACGCAGUAAACGAUGAUGGCUAACCGCUGGAUCCAUCGGUUCAGUGGCCAAGCGAAAGCGAUAAGCCAUCCACCUGGGGAGUACGACCGCUAGGUUGAAACUCAAAGGAAUUGACGGGG
This 393-nucleotide ribosomal RNA is filed under the name uncultured bacterium. Its description in RNAcentral is "partial 16S ribosomal RNA". It matches the Rfam family "Bacterial small subunit ribosomal RNA", at positions 523 to 918 of the family's 1533-position model. The record is from RNAcentral.